This 790-nucleotide ribosomal RNA is filed under the name uncultured Glomus. RNAcentral describes it as "SSU rRNA". It matches the Rfam family "Eukaryotic small subunit ribosomal RNA", at positions 328 to 1114 of the family's 1831-position model. Lineage: Eukaryota; Fungi; Glomeromycota; Glomeromycetes; Glomerales; Glomeraceae. The record is from RNAcentral.
GUAGGAUAGAGGCCUACUAUGGUGGUAACGGGUAACGGGGAAUUAGGGUUCGAUUCCGGAGAGGGAGCCUGAGAAACGGCUACCACAUCCAAGGAAGGCAGCAGGCGCGCAAAUUACCCAAUCCCGACACGGGGAGGUAGUGACAAUAAAUAACAAUACGGGGCUCUUUCGGGUCUCGUAAUUGGAAUGAGUACAAUUUAAAUCCCUUAACGAGGAACAAUUGGAGGGCAAGUCUGGUGCCAGCAGCCGCGGUAAUUCCAGCUCCAAUAGCGUAUAUUAAAGUUGUUGCAGUUAAAAAGCUCGUAGUUGAAUUUCGGGAUUGACACAUCGGUCGUGCCCUAAGGGGUAUGAACUGGUGUCGUCAGUUUCUCACCUUCUGGAGAACCGCGAUGUCCUUAAUUGGGUGCCGCGAGGAACCAGGACCUUUACUUUGAAAAAAUUAGAGUGUUUAAAGCAGGCAUUUUGCUUGAAUACAUUAGCAUGGAAUAAUAAAAUAGGACGGAUGGUUCUAUUUUGUUGGUUUCUAGGAUCACCGUAAUGAUUAAUAGGGAUAGUUGGGGGCAUUAGUAUUCAAUUGUCAGAGGUGAAAUUCUUGGAUUUAUUGAAGACUAACUACUGCGAAAGCAUUUGCCAAGGAUGUUUUCAUUAAUCAAGAACGAAAGUUAGGGGAUCGAAGACGAUCAGAUACCGUCGUAGUCUUAACCAUAAACUAUGCCGACUAGGAAUCAGACGAUGUUAAUUUUUUAAUGACUCGUUUGGCACCUUACGGGAAACCAAAGUGUUUGGGUUC